Molecule: non-coding RNA, 682 nt
Organism: Callorhinus ursinus (northern fur seal)
Lineage: Eukaryota; Metazoa; Chordata; Mammalia; Carnivora; Otariidae
Source: RefSeq, a predicted model, not a curated record
AUGUCUUGGUCCGGAGAGCCGGCUCCGGGAGCCGCGCGCCAGCUCCGCCCGGCUCAGCGGCCAUCCCGCACCGGAGUCCGCAGCUCUCGCGAGGACUGCCCCGCGUCGCGUUGGCAGUCGACGCCCCAUUCGGAAACCAAUCACCGCCUGGUCUGCGGACUCUUCCCUCUUGGGGCCAUCGCUGAAGCGCCAGCGGCCAAAACGAAGUUUAAUCCCUUUGUGACUUCUGACCAGAGCAAGAACCGAAAACGGCAUUUCAGUGCACCUUCCCACAUUCGCAGGAAGAUCAUGUCUUUCCCUCUUUCCCAAGAGCUGAGACAGAAGUACAACAUUCGAUCCAUGCCCAUCCGAAGGGAUGAUGAAGUGUAGGUUGUGCAAGGAUACUACAAAGGUCAGCAGAUUGGCAAAGUAGUCCAGGUUUACAGGAAGAAGUACAUCAUCUACAUUGAACGAGUGCAGCGAGAGAAGGCAAACAGCACAACCAUCCAUGUGGGCAUUCACCCUAGCAAGGUGGUUAUCACCAGACUAAAACUGGACAAAGACCACAAAAAGAUCCUUGAACGUAAAGCCAAAUCUCGCCAAGUAGGAAAGGAAAAGGGCAAAUAUAAGGAAGAAACAAUUGAGAAGAUGCAGGAGUAAAGUAAUCUUAUAUGCGACUUGAAAUAAAAACUGUUAAAAUAGA